Molecule: ribosomal RNA, 1023 nt
Filed under: Tentacularia coryphaenae
Lineage: Eukaryota; Metazoa; Platyhelminthes; Cestoda; Trypanorhyncha; Tentaculariidae
Description: bacterial SSU rRNA
Rfam family: Eukaryotic small subunit ribosomal RNA
Source: RNAcentral
GCAGUUAAAAAGCUCGUAGUUGGAUCUCGGUGAUACUGAAGCCAACCGCUGCUUAGUUGGUUGAGUCUGGCUGCACCUAGCGUGUACGUCGGAUUUGCCGGCUGUGUUAGUGGUGUGGAAGCGGUGUUACCUUUCAGCCAUGUCUGUGGUGCAAUACCCACAGGUGUAAGCAAGUGUCAGGCGGUGCUGUGCUUUCGGUAUGGUCCGUCGGCUCGUUUGCAUGCCUGCGGAUGCCCUUCAAAGGGUGUCUGUUGGCGGAUGGCACGUUUACUUUGAACAAAUUUGAGUGCUCAAACCAGGCCAAUGUUGCCUGAAAAGUUUUGCAUGGAAUAAUGGAAUAGGACUUCGGUUCUAUUUUGUUGGUUUUCGGAUCCGAAGUAAUGAUCAAAAGAGACAGGCGGGGACGUUUGUAUGGUUGCGCUAGAGGUGAAAUUCAUGGACCGUAGCCAGACAAACUAAAGCGAAAGCAUUCGUCAAGCAUGUUUUCAUUGACCAUGAGCGAAAGUCAGAGGCUCGAAGACGAUCAGAUACCGUCCUAGUUCUGACCAUAAACGAUGCCAACUGACGAUCCGUGGUGGUAGUAAAUUAACCUUCCCCACGGGCAGUCACCGGGAAACCUUUAAGUCUUUGGGUUCCGGGGGAAGUAUGGUUGCAAAGCUGAAACUUAAAGGAAUUGACGGAAGGGCACCACCAGGAGUGGAGCCUGCGGCUUAAUUUGACUCAACACGGGAAAACUCACCCGGGCCGGACACUGUAAGGAUUGACAGAUUGAUAGCUCUUUCUUGAUUCGGUGGUUGGUGGUGCAUGGCCGUUCUUAGUUGGUGGAGCGAUUUGUCUGGUUAAUUCCGAUAACGAACGAGACUCUAGCCUGCUAAUUAGUGCACUUGUCCACUGUUCCUGUGUAAGUGGCGUUUCGGCGAUGUUGCCCAUGUUAUCUGCUGCAGUUGUCCACCUGUGUCCUCGGAUGCGGGUGGCGGCUGUAGUGGUUUGGGCGGCGGGUUCGGCGUUUGCUUCCGGGUACGA